Molecule: ribosomal RNA, 1598 nt
Filed under: Hyperolius ocellatus (golden-eyed reed frog)
Lineage: Eukaryota; Metazoa; Chordata; Amphibia; Anura; Hyperoliidae
Description: 16S ribosomal RNA
Rfam family: Bacterial large subunit ribosomal RNA
Source: RNAcentral
GCCUUAAAUAUAGUUCUAUAAUACUAAUAUAUAUAUAUAUAUCCUAAUCAAAAUUUAACCUAAACAAAACAUUUAUACAGUCUAGUAUAGGCGAUUAAAAAACUAAUAAAAACUAUAUAUGAAGUACCGCAAGGGAAAAAUGAAAUAGAAAUGAAAUAAAAUAAAAGCACAAAAAAGCAGAGAAAUGUCCUCGUACCUUUUGCAUCAUGGUCUAGCAAGUUAAAACAAGCAAAAUGUAUUUAAAGUUUGUAACCCCGAAACUAAGUGAGCUACUUUUAAACAACUAUAUUAAUUAUAUAUUAACUAUAUAGCCAACUCGUCUCUGUCGCAAAAGAGUGAAAUGAUUUUCAAGUAGAGGUGAUAAGCCUAUCGAACUUAGAGAUAGCUGGUUAUUUGGGAGAAGAAUUUAAGUUCUGCCUUAAACUAUAAUAUGCACAAAACAUAAUAAACAGUUUAAGAGUUAUUCGAAUAGGGAACAGCCUAUUUGAACCAGGAAACAGCCUAAAAGACCGGGUAAUUAAUUUAACACUGUGUAUAAGUUGGCCUGAAAGCAGCCACCUUUUAAAAAGCGUCAAAGCUUGAACACAGCAUAAAAAAAUUCCCUAACUAAAACAAAACCCACUAUUAAUACCAAGUAACUUUAUAUAAAUAUAAAAAUUAUUAUGUUAGAAUGAGUAAUAAGAAAAAGAAUUUCUCCAAAAUAUAAGUGUAAUGCAAAAUAAACUAAAACUGCUAAUUAAUGUAUAUUAAACUAAAGUAGCAACUUCACUAGAAAACACCACUUUACUAAACAUUAAACUAACACAAGAAUAUUACUGGAAAGAUUAAAAAAAUAGGAAGGAACUCGGCAAACAUAAACCCCGCCUGUUUACCAAAAACAUCGCCUCUUGCUUAAAUAUAAGAGGUCCCGCCUGCCCAGUGGUUUAGUUUAACGGCCGCGGUAUCUUGACCGUGCAAAGGUAGCACAAUCAAUUGUCCCCUAAAUAGGAACUAGAAUGAACGGCAUCACGAGGGUUUGACUGUCUCCCUACUUUAAUCAAUAAAAUUGAUUUUCCCGUGAAGAAGCGGGAAUAUAAAUAUAAGACGAAAAGACCCCAUGGAGCUUUAAACUUAUCAUCACUUAUCAAAAUUUUAAAACACCACUGAUAAAUAUGAGUGAUAGUUUUCGGUUGGGGCGACCCUGGAGAAAAACAAAUCCUCCAAGCUGUAAAAUAAAAAUAUGCUAGAGCAACAACUCAAACAAUCAAAACCUUGACAAAAUGACCCAGAAUGUAUCUGAUCAACGAACCAAGUUACCCUGGGGAUAACAGCGCAAUCCAUUUCAAGAGCCCCUAUCGACAAAUGGGUUUACGACCUCGAUGUUGGAUCGGGAUGUCCUAGCAACGCAGCCGCUGCUAAGGGUUCGUUUGUUCAACGAUUAAUAUCCCACGUGAUCUGAGUUCAGACCGGAGUAAUCCAGGUCGGUUUCUAUCUAUAAAAAGUCUAUUCUAGUACGAAAGGAAAGAAAAGACAUGGCCAAGACAAAAACAAGCCAUACCUAAAUAUUAAUGACACCAACUUAAUUAAAUAUAGGUUAUAUAAUAAUUUUAGAAAAAAAU